This 470-nucleotide long non-coding RNA is filed under the name Cicer arietinum (chickpea). RNAcentral describes it as "long non-coding RNA (CARI_LNC000313)". Lineage: Eukaryota; Viridiplantae; Streptophyta; Magnoliopsida; Fabales; Fabaceae. The record is from RNAcentral.
AAAUUAAAAAACACAAAGCAUACACAAAUUAUUGUGCACAUAUGCUUAAUUAGAAUAUUGAUAAGAAACAUAAAAGGGAAACAAAUUAACAUUAAAUAACCAAAGAAAGUAAUUUGCAAUGGAGUUACAUGUCAAUCUUUCUUUUCUUCAACCUUUUCUUCUUUUUUUUCUUCAACCUUUUCUUCUUUCUUAGCUUCUUUCACUUCCUUGACUGCCUUCACCUUAGCCUUCCCUGCCUUUGGCUUCAUGAAACAAAAGCAUGAGCAGCAAGGACACUGGAACAAGAACUUCAUUUCCAAUCAAGUGCUCAGAUCUCAAUUUCUGAACAGAGAAUGAAAAUGUUCAGCUUUUCUGUCCUCUUUUUAUCUCCUUUCUUGCUUAAUAAUUUAUAUAUUUAAUUCUCUUUUGUCUUUUACUUUUUCCUCUAUUUUUUCUUAGUAUACAAUCAAUUAUGUAUUUAAAUGUGUAAG